This is a long non-coding RNA of Aedes aegypti (yellow fever mosquito), 492 nucleotides long. RefSeq lists it as uncharacterized. The record is from RefSeq and is a predicted model, not a curated record. Lineage: Eukaryota; Metazoa; Arthropoda; Insecta; Diptera; Culicidae. The transcript has 3 exons.
GGUGGGAAACUCGGCUCACUGUGCCCGGCACAUUAUUCGGCACAGCACCACACAUCUGGGCACCCUUCCAACCAUUUCUUUCUUUCUUCUUUUUCUGCACACGAUUAGAUUUGACAGCUGAAAUUUUGUUGUUCACGGAGAAAAACAAAUAUACUAGUUAGUUUUUCUGUGUCUUGAAGUGAUGCCUAAAAUGAAUAACUAAUAUAUGGAGAAGAAAAUGCCCGAAGCCAUAAAAAUAGUUUUCAGCAGUUGUGGCGUGCUAGGCCCUCAUCAGAGGACGCCAUCAUCAAGGGACAUUUGUCUCAGGGAGCUUACCGCAGGAGGAGAUUAGAAUUUACGAAUUUGGUGAAAUUGGAUUCAAUAAUUACGAUAAGAUUAUUUUGUGGGAGAGUAUCAAUCCGGUCGUCGUGAGCGAUUCGUAAACAACUGCUUCAAGUAUGUAGGAAGAUUAUUGUGAUCAACGCUGGACAGAUUGGAAGAAACCUUAACCAU